Molecule: transfer RNA, 74 nt
Filed under: Phycisphaerae bacterium
Lineage: Bacteria; Pseudomonadati; Planctomycetota; Phycisphaerae
Description: tRNA-Val
Rfam family: tRNA
About the family: Transfer RNA (tRNA) molecules are approximately 80 nucleotides in length. Their secondary structure includes four short double-helical elements and three loops (D, anti-codon, and T loops).
Source: RNAcentral
CCGCCCUUGGCGCAGCUGGCUAGCGCGCUUGCAUGACACGCAAGAGGUCACUGGUUCGAGUCCAGUAGGGCGGA